RNAcentral lists this ribosomal RNA (471 nucleotides) under uncultured bacterium. RNAcentral's name for it is "partial 16S ribosomal RNA". It matches the Rfam family "Bacterial small subunit ribosomal RNA", at positions 28 to 506 of the family's 1533-position model. The record is from RNAcentral.
GACGAACGCUGGCGGCGUGCUUAACACAUGCAAGUCGAACGCUGAAGCUUGGUGCUUGCACUGGGUGGAUGAGUGGCGAACGGGUGAGUAAUACGUGAGUAACCUGCCCUUGACUCUGGGAUAAGCCUGGGAAACUGGGUCUAAUACUGGAUACGACAUGUCACCGCAUGGUGGUGUGUGGAAAGGGUUUUACUGGUUUUGGAUGGGCUCACGGCCUAUCAGCUUGUUGGUGGGGUAAUGGCUCACCAAGGCGACGACGGGUAGCCGGCCUGAGAGGGUGACCGGCCACACUGGGACUGAGACACGGCCCAGACUCCUACGGGAGGCAGCAGUGGGGACUAUUGCACAAUGGGCGGAAGCCGGAUGCAGCGACGCCGCGUGGGGGAGGACGGCCUUCGGGUUGUAAACCUCUUUCAGCACGGAAGAAGCGAAAGGGACGGGACGUGCAGAAGAAGCGCCGGCUAACUACGU